Molecule: long non-coding RNA, 1280 nt
Organism: Quercus robur (English oak)
Lineage: Eukaryota; Viridiplantae; Streptophyta; Magnoliopsida; Fagales; Fagaceae
Exons: 2
Source: RefSeq, a predicted model, not a curated record
UCCAUUUGAACGAAACCCGACCUAUUUGCAAAAUGGCAGGUCUAAAUGGGCAUGAAGGGUAGGGAUGGCAGGUUUGGCAAACCUCACGUGGUGGAAUGAAGUGUUGACUGUUGAGUUUGGGGCACUGUAUUACUUUAGACUUGAGUAGAGAUUUUCACGGGUGUCAAACUUCUUUGGGAACGUAAACACACCCUGCCCUGCGGCACUGAAAAAGAUUACAUAGAAACAACCAAACCAAACCUCUCCCUCCCUGUGCAGAGUCCAGAUCAGUGAGGUCGUAUCUAGGAUCUCCCAGAAAAUCUUUUGAUGAGAGACUGAACUAUAAUACAGAUUCUUUAAACACGAGGCAACAAGGACUGAGUUUAUAGACUCAUGAUUCCAAUGAUCUGUACCUAACCCCUACGGCCUACCCUAUGCUUUGCAUGUAGCUCUAAUAAUAUUGUUUCGUCAACUCACAACAAAUACAUCGGAUUCACAUCCAGUGCAAUAGAUAGGGUAUUGCACGGGGUGCAAUAGCUUUAAUAUCAGCCAUGGAUUAAAUCUAAUGCUCAGAAAAUUGACACGUUAUAUCUCCACGCUGGCAAUUCGCGUGCUUCAAUUUCUCUCCUCUCUUUUUUUUUUUCUCUCUUUUCACUUCAGCAAUUCAGCUUUCCCAAAUAUGAGUUUCAGAAAAAAAAAAAAAGAAAAAACUCUCUUGGAGACUCUAAAUCCAUGGCCGAAUCUCAGUGGGCCUCAGCUCAUCCCACACCACCACCACCACUGGCGAUGCGUCCCGGUCUAGUCUUCUCCUCUUUCAAGACCCUGGGGGUCAGUUAGGGGAAACAAAACAGUAAAUGCAGCUGGAGCUAACUACAACAAAACUAAAACCAGUGCUGCCAACUAAACCCAGUGCCGAGAGGGAAAUCAAUGCAGAAUAAGAAAGCAGCAGCCCACAUGCUGCAGGCAGCAGCUAUCCAGUGCAGAAAAACCAGUGCAGAGGAAUGUACAACAAGAAGAAAGAGACACCCCAAGAGUGGAACUAAAUGAGUGCAUAUGAUUUUUUAUUUACAAUUGAGUAGGGUCAUGACACAAUUUUUUUAUUUACAAUUGAGUAGGCGCAUAAGAUUGUUGAAGCAUUUGAUCUUGAAGCAUGCAAGACUUUUUAUUUUUAUUUUUUUGGUUAUUACAUGAGAAUUAGGUAAUAUGAUGGUAGAAAAAAAAUUCUCUAUUGUAUCAUGUUAUUAUGGCCUUGUAAUUAAAGAAUAUAAUUUAAUACAAUUUAGUUCAUUUUUUGGAUCAAA